Molecule: long non-coding RNA, 842 nt
Organism: Salmo salar (Atlantic salmon)
Lineage: Eukaryota; Metazoa; Chordata; Actinopteri; Salmoniformes; Salmonidae
Source: RefSeq, a predicted model, not a curated record
UAAAGCCCUUUUAACAUCACAAAGUGUUUUACAGAUUCCCAGCCUAAAACCCCACAGAGCAAUGCAGAUGCACAAUGCUCUACAAUGGUUUUUCCUUUCUCUGUUUACAGGAAGGAGAGUCUGAGUGCCAUGUUUAAAACCGGUUUCUAUAUCAACGACCUGAGUAUGCAUGAGUCCAGUAGAGCCCUGGUACUGGCACUAUAAAGGGAAUAGGGUGCGACCUACGGUUGAGACCAUAGGUCAUGCAUGGUGGUGGCGGGGGGCUCCAGAGAAGACCAUGCCCACAACAUCUGUGACAUGGUGGCGGCUGGGGUAUUGGGUCAUAAAAGGCCAUGAUACAGUCUCCAUGGCGAUACAGUCCACACUGCAUCAGAGAGAGAGAUUCUGUUUAUGGCUAUCUCACAACACAGCUGGAAGACGAAGGCCAUCAUUACUGAAAUUAUUUCCAAAUCACUGCCAUCAAAACAUUAUUAUAUUCUGUAAUCAGAUGUUUUUGUAACAUGAUACUCCCUGCCGUUGAACCAAUUUGUUGCAAAGGUUUCUGAAAAAAUCUGAGAACGAGAGAACAAAUAUAUUAUUGUGUGAACUAUUUUAAUCAACAUCACCCUAAACUGUCAAUCACAAACCCUAGCUUGGUGUUGGGGCUCUGUCAUCACUGGUCUGUCUUUGAGUCUGUGCAUUAAAUUAAGUGCUAAAGUCAAUGACUGCUAAAGGUUUGUGAGCCAGCUAAUCGAUCAUCAGGAGGCAGCAGUGACUCACCUUCUCACCAAAGGCUCUCUGACCGUCUGCUCUCUGCAACUUUAAUGAUCAACAUCCCAGCUGUCCAUUAAAACCAACACUUC